Molecule: transfer RNA, 74 nt
Filed under: Candidatus Omnitrophica bacterium CG12_big_fil_rev_8_21_14_0_65_50_5
Lineage: Bacteria; Pseudomonadati; Candidatus Omnitrophota
Description: tRNA-Val
Rfam family: tRNA
About the family: Transfer RNA (tRNA) molecules are approximately 80 nucleotides in length. Their secondary structure includes four short double-helical elements and three loops (D, anti-codon, and T loops).
Source: RNAcentral
GGACGCAUAGCUCAGCCGGUUAGAGCGCUGCCCUCACAUGGCAGAGGUCGGAGGUUCGAACCCUCCUGCGUCCA